GUCCCCAUCGUCUAGAGGCCUAGGACACUACCCUUUCACGGUAGGUACCGGGGUUCGAAUCCCCGUGGGGACGCCA
Molecule: transfer RNA, 76 nt
Filed under: Thiobacillus sp.
Lineage: Bacteria; Pseudomonadati; Pseudomonadota; Betaproteobacteria; Nitrosomonadales; Thiobacillaceae
Also listed under: 63 other names
Description: tRNA-Glu
Rfam family: tRNA
About the family: Transfer RNA (tRNA) molecules are approximately 80 nucleotides in length. Their secondary structure includes four short double-helical elements and three loops (D, anti-codon, and T loops).
Source: RNAcentral